Molecule: non-coding RNA, 113 nt
Organism: Acanthosepion pharaonis
Lineage: Eukaryota; Metazoa; Mollusca; Cephalopoda; Sepiida; Sepiidae
Source: the annotation of a GenBank genome assembly
UAUGGUCACAUCACGUUGAAACAACGGUUCCCGUACGGUCAACGAAGUUAAGCAACGUCGAGCCUGAACAGUACGUAGAUGGAUAACCGAUUAGGAAUACCUGGUAUUGUAAU